This is a long non-coding RNA of Eriocheir sinensis (Chinese mitten crab), 3073 nucleotides long. RefSeq lists it as uncharacterized. The record is from RefSeq and is a predicted model, not a curated record. The transcript has 3 exons. NCBI's taxonomy places the organism in Eukaryota, Metazoa, Arthropoda, Malacostraca, Decapoda, Varunidae.
AAACCCGAGACGAUAUGGGAUAAAAAUAGCACACAAGAGAGAGAGAGAGAGAGAGAGAGAGAGAGAGAGAGAGAGAGAGAGAGAGAGAGAGAGAGAGGCGAGUGGGAAUUCAUUAGCCGUGGUUAAAUAGGCUGUAUCUAUGUGACACGUGUAACAAAGAGUAGAGUUGCAAGCCGAACCAGUGGAGGGCGGUGUUCGGCCUUUCCGAGCGAACGUGAUAUGGUUACUGAGGAAGGCACGAACGGGGCAGCAUCAGGAGAGAGAUAAGACGAAGGAGGAGGAGGAGGAGGAGGAGGAGGGGGAGAUAUGGAGACGUUUAGAAACAGUGAAGGUAAGGGUGUACAAAUUAUAGGUCACGGGGAAGAAAGGGAAUUAUAAGAAGAAAAGAUAAAAGAGGUGGAGAGAGAGAAAUAAGAUGAAGAAGAAGAAGAAGGAGGAGGAGGAGAAGGAGGAAAAAGAUAUGGAGCUUUUGGAACAGGGAAUUUGAUGUUUUACAAAUAAUUGGUCAUUGGGAAGAAAGGGAAUCAUAAGAAGAAAAGAUAAAAGAGGCAGAGAGAGAGAAAUAAGAUGAAGAAGAAGAAGAAGGAAGAGGAGGAGGAACAUAGGGAUAGCUUUUGGAACAGGGAAUUUGAUGUUGUACAAAUAAUUAGUCAUGAGGAAGAAAGGAAAUUAUAAGAAGAAAAGAUAAAAGAGGUGGAGAGAGAGAAAUAAGAUGAAGAAGAAGAAGAAGGAGGAGGAGGAGGAGGAAAAAGAUAUGGAGCUUUUGGAACAGGGAAUUUGAUGUUGUACAAAUAAUUGGUCAUUGGGAAGAAAAGAAAUUAUAAGAAGAAAAGAUAAAAGAGGUGGAGAGAGAGAAAUAAGAAGAAGAAGAAGAAGGAGGAGGAGAAGGAGGAGGAGGAAAACAGGGAUAGCUUUUGGAAUAGGGAAGGUGAUGUUCUAUAAAUAAUUGGUCAUGAGGAAGAAAGAGAAUUAGAAGAGGAGGACUAAAAGGUAAAAGGUUUUAGAAUUUAGGAGCAAGAGAGAGAGAGAGAGAGAGAGAGAGAGAGAGAGAGAGAGAGAGAGAGAGAGAUAGGGAAGGCGAUAGUGUACAAGAAAUAGAUCAUAAAGAGGAAAAAGAAGGAAAAGGAAAGAGAAUGAGAAGAAAGAUGAUUAAAGAAGAGAAAGAAGAGAAAGAGUUAGAGGUGUAAGAAUGUGAUAUAGGUGUUAAUGUACAAGUGAAAGUUAAUGAAGAAGAAAGAAAAUUAAAGAAGAGAAAGCAUCGAAGGACUCAGGAAUGCGGAAGGUGUUAGACUCUACAAAUAAGAGAUCGCGAAGUAGAAAAAUGAGAAGAGAAAGAAGAGGAAGAAGAAAAUUACCUGUUUGGGAUGAUGUAAGAGGCCGUGACGACGUAAGAGAGGAAGGAAAAGAUGGAAGAGGAAUAAAAAGAGUCGGAAGAGGAUGACUCAGGCAAAUGGAAUGGAUAGUGAUAUAAGAGGUCGUAAGGAUACAUGAGGAAGAGGAAGAAGAAAAGGAAGAUUUAGAUUUCAGCAUAGGAAGUAGGGGUUAAAUUAGACUUCGGAAAUGGGAUAGAUAAUGAGAUAAGAGAUCCUAAUGGCGUGAAGGAAGAGGAAGGAAAGGAUUUAGAUUUCAGAAUAGGAAGUAGGGGUUAAAUUAGACUUCGGAAAUGGGACAGAUAAUGAGAUAAGAGAUCCUAGGCGUGAAGGAAGAGGAAAAGGAGGAUUUAGAUUUCAGAAGAGUAGAAAGGGGAUAAGGAGAGAAGUAAGGAAGAGGAGGAACAAGAGGAAAAAUUAAACUUCAAGAAUGGAAUAGACAAUGAUUUAAGAGGACACCAUGACAGAGGAGGAAGAGGAAGAGGAAAAUUCAGACUUAAGAAGAGGAGAAAGAAAGAGAGAUUUAGACUGCAAGGAGGAAAAGGAGUAAGGAAGAAGAGGAGCAAGAGGAAAACAUGGACUUCACGAAUGGGAUAGGAAAUUAUAUAAGAGGAAGAGAAAGAUACAUAAGAAAAAGAAAAAGAAAAAGAAAACGGAAAAGAAGAUAAAGAGGAGAAACAAGAUCAUUUAAGGUUCAGUGAGGAAGUAGAGUAGGGUAAGGAAAAGAAGAUGAACAUAUGGGAUAUACAUAAUAAAGUAAGUGGGCGUAUGAAGAACGUAGAAGGAAGAGUAAGAGGAAGAUGACUCAGGCUUAAGAAAUGAGCAUGAUGGUGGUGAUGGUGAUGACGGUAGGGGAGGUGGCGGCGGGGGCGUAAGAAAUGGCUCUCAUGAAAAUACUUGCCUGAUUAUUUCGACUCCUCGGCUUGGCACUGCCCUCCUUUGUCUCAUGGUUUUCAGGGAACUCGCGUGUGUGGGAAAAUCUUUGCCCUGAGUGGCGGCUACGGGCUAUUUCUUGGUAGGAGUGAAUGGUAUGUGUGGUCUAGGGUUUCUUGAGUACGUGGAGUGCAUGUCAAGUGGCUGACUGUAAAUGAAAUGAGGAAAUGGGUCGGACACGUGUAGGAGAGACGAUGAGAGGAGGAGGAAGAAGGAAAGGAGCUACGGAGAGGGGGGCAUUAGAAGCAACAGGAAAAUUGAAAUGUGAGGAAAGAGGAAAAAAUAAAAAGGGCCGUGCACGUGUAGGAGAGACGAUGAGAGGAGGAGGAAGAAGGAAAGGAGCUACGGAGAGAGGGGCAUUAGAAGCAACAGGAAAAUUAAGACGUGAGGAAAGAGGAAGAAAUAAAAAGGGCCGUGCACGUUUUAGAAGAGACGAUGAAAAAAACGAUUAAGAAAAUGAAGAGUUACGAAGAAAAGGAACAUUAGAUACAACACGAUAAAGAAGAUGUGAAGAAGGAGGAAGAAAUAAAAAGGGCCCUGCACGUUUUAGAAGAGACAAUGAAAAAAACGAUUAAGAAAAUGAAGAGUUACGAAGAAAAGGAACAUUAGAUACAACACGAUAAAGAAGAUGUGAAGAAGGAGGAAGAAAUAAAAAGGGCCGUGCACGUUUUAGAAGAGACGAUGAAAAAAACGAUUAAGAAAAUGAAGAGUUACGAAGAAAAGGAACACUAGAUACGACACGAUAAAGAAGAUGUGAAGAAGGAGGAAAA